CAGUCGCCGCGGGAAUACAGAGGGUGCGAGCGUUAAUCGGAUUUACUGGGCGUAAAGCGUGCGUAGGCGGCUUCUUAAGUCGGAUGUGAAAUCCCUGAGCUUAACUUAGGAAUCGCAUUCGAUACUGGGAAGCUAGAGUAUGGGAGAGGAUGGUAGAAUUCCAGGUGUAGCGGUGAAAUGCGUAGAGAUCUGGAGGAAUACCGAUGGCGAAGGCAGCCAUCUGGCCUAAUACUGACGCUGAGGUACAAAAGCAUGGGGAGCAAACAGGAUUAGAGACCCCGGUAGUCCCUGUCUCUUAUAC
Molecule: ribosomal RNA, 301 nt
Filed under: uncultured bacterium
Lineage: Bacteria
Description: partial 16S ribosomal RNA
Rfam family: Bacterial small subunit ribosomal RNA
Source: RNAcentral